Molecule: ribosomal RNA, 316 nt
Filed under: uncultured bacterium
Lineage: Bacteria
Description: bacterial SSU rRNA
Rfam family: Bacterial small subunit ribosomal RNA
Source: RNAcentral
GCCUUAGGAAUUUGCCUGGUAGUGGGGGAUAACGUUCCGAAAGGAACGCUAAUACCGCGUACGUCCUACGGGAGAAAGCAGGGGACGUUCGGGCCUUGCGCUAUCAGAUGAGCCUAGGUCGGAUUAGCUAGUUGGUGAGGUAAUGGCUCACCAAGGCGACGAUCCGUAACUGGUCUGAGAGGAUGAUCAGUCACACUGGAACUGAGACACGGUCCAGACUCCUACGGGAGGCAGCAGUGGGGAAUAUUGGACAAUGGGCGAAAGCCUGAUCCAGCCAUGCCGCGUGUGUGAAGCAGGUCUUCGGAUUGUAAAGCAC